RNAcentral lists this ribosomal RNA (724 nucleotides) under uncultured eukaryote. RNAcentral's name for it is "bacterial SSU rRNA". It matches the Rfam family "Bacterial small subunit ribosomal RNA", at positions 739 to 1464 of the family's 1533-position model. The record is from RNAcentral.
ACUGACACUCAGGGACGAGAGCCAGGGGAGCGAAUGGGAUUAGAUACCCCAGUAGUCCUGGCCGUAAACGAUGGAUACCAAGCCCUGCGCGUAUCGACCCGGGCAGGGCUGUAGCUAACGCAUGAAGUAUCCCGCCUGGGGAGUACGCUCGCAAGAGUGAAACUCAAAGGAAUUGACGGGAGCCCGCACAAGCGGUGGAGCAUGUGGUUUAAUUCGAUGCAACGCGAAGAACCUUACCAGGGCUUGACAUGCCGCGAACCCCCCUGAGAGGGGGGGGUGCCUUCGGGAGCGCGGACACAGGUGGUGCAUGGCUGUCGUCAGCUCGUGUCGUAAGAUGUUGGGUUCAGUCCCGCAACGAGCGCAACCCCCGUCUCUAGUUGCCCACAAUUCGGCACCCUAGAGAGACCGCCGGUGUUAAGCCGGAGGAAGGUGGGGAUGAGGUCAAGUCAACAUGCCCCUUUUGCCCUGGGCGACACACGUGCUACAAUGGCCGGGACAAAGAGAUGCGACCCCGCAAGGGCCAGCCUGACCUCGUAAACCCGGCCUCAGUUCGGAUUGUAGGCUGCAACCCGCCUACAUGAAGGAGGAAUCGCUAGUAAUCACCGGUCAGCCAUACGGUGGUGAAUCCGUUCCCGGGCUUUGCACACACCGCCCGUCACACUAUGGGAAUCGGCCAUGCCCCAAGUCGUUACCCCAACCCGUAGGGAGGGGGAUGCCAAAGGCA